AUUGAACGCUGGCAGCAGGCCUAACACAUGCAAGUCGAACGGUAACAGGAAGAAGCUUGCUUCUUUGCUGACGAGUGGCGGACGGGUGAGUAAUGUCUGGGAAACUGCCUGAUGGAGGGGGAUAACUACUGGAAACGGUAGCUAAUACCGCAUAACGUCGCAAGACCAAAGAGGGGGACCUUCGGGCCUCUUGCCAUCGGAUGUGCCCAGAUGGGAUUAGCUAGUAGGUGGGGUAACGGCUCACCUAGGCGACGAUCCCUAGCUGGUCUGAGAGGAUGACCAGCCACACUGGAACUGAGACACGGUCCAGACUCCUACGGGAGGCAGCAGUGGGGAAUAUUGCACAAUGGGCGCAAGCCUGAUGCAGCCAUGCCGCGUGUAUGAAGAAGGCCUUCGGGUUGUAAGUACUUUCAGCGGGGAGGAAGGGAGUAAAGUUAAUACCUUUGCUCAUUGACGUUACCCGCAGAAGAAGCACCGGCUAACUCCGUG
This 489-nucleotide ribosomal RNA is filed under the name uncultured bacterium. Its description in RNAcentral is "partial 16S ribosomal RNA". It matches the Rfam family "Bacterial small subunit ribosomal RNA", at positions 30 to 507 of the family's 1533-position model. The record is from RNAcentral.